CAGCAGCACGGUAACACGGAGGGGGCUAGCGUUGUUCGGAAUUACUGGGCGUAAAGCGCACGUAGGCGGCUUGGUAAGUUAGAGGUGAAAGCCUGGAGCUCAACUCCAGAAUUGCCUUUAAGACUGCCGAGCUAGCAGGUGAGAGAGGUAAGUGGAAUUCCGAGUGUAGAGGUGAAAUUCGUAGAUAUUCGGAGGAACACCAGUGGCGAAGGCGGCUUACUGGCUCAUACUGGACGCUGAGGUGCGAAAGCGUGGGGAGCAAACAGGAUUAGAUACCCGUGUAGUCCCUGUCUCUUAUACA
This 301-nucleotide ribosomal RNA is filed under the name uncultured bacterium. RNAcentral's name for it is "partial 16S ribosomal RNA". It matches the Rfam family "Bacterial small subunit ribosomal RNA", at positions 509 to 808 of the family's 1533-position model. The record is from RNAcentral.